CCUACGGGAGGCAGCAGUGAGGAAUAUUGGUCAAUGGACGCAAGUCUGAACCAGCCAUGCCGCGUGCAGGAAGACGGCUCUAUGAGUUGUAAACUGCUUUUGUACGAGGGUAAACGCAGAUACGCGUAUCUGUCUGAAAGUAUCGUACGAAUAAGGAUCGGCUAACUCCGUGCCAGCCGCCGAGGUAAUACGGAGGAUUCAAGCGUUAUCCGGAUUUAUUGGGUUUAAAGGGUGCGUAGGCGGUCGGAUAAGUUAGAGGUGAAAUCCCGAGGCUCAACUUCGGAAUUGCCUCGGAUACUGUUCGGCUAGAGAGUAGUAGCGGUAGGCGGAAUUUAUGGUGUAGCGGUGAAAUGCUUAGAGAUCAGACAGAACACCGAUUGCGAAGGCAGCUUACCAAGCUACUUCUGACGUUGAGGCACGAAAGCGUGGGGAGCAAACAGGAUUAGAUACCCCUGUAGUC
This 460-nucleotide ribosomal RNA is filed under the name uncultured bacterium. RNAcentral describes it as "partial 16S ribosomal RNA". It matches the Rfam family "Bacterial small subunit ribosomal RNA", at positions 338 to 795 of the family's 1533-position model. The record is from RNAcentral.